This is a long non-coding RNA of Culex quinquefasciatus (southern house mosquito), 540 nucleotides long. RefSeq lists it as uncharacterized. NCBI's taxonomy places the organism in Eukaryota, Metazoa, Arthropoda, Insecta, Diptera, Culicidae. The record is from RefSeq and is a predicted model, not a curated record. The transcript is spliced from 2 exons.
UCGGCAAUUCAACUGUCAAAUUUGCUAGAAAGUGCCGAGCUGUUCGGUUAGAUGUUGAGGUAGCCAUAUUUGUUUUCGAUAUGAGUAGUGCUCACUGAACUAAGUUCCGGAACUUUGGAUAAAUCGGGAUUUAUACUUGAAUUUCUACAGGAUUUCUGCUUGGAUUUCUACUUGAAAGCUUUUACCAAGGAAAUGCAUGACGAUGGUGCUUGGUAGAAGUAUAGGAUUCAUUCUGGUUCAGAUUGUAUUAGAUUAUACAUAAAAGAGCAAUAAAUAUAAAAAAGCAUGCAUGCAUAUUGUUUUAAAGCUUUAAAUUAAUUGCGAGAAUCUCGAUUUGGUUUUAUUAUGAUAAAUGCCGAGAUUUUCGGUUGAAUUCGUUUCAGGGAUGCCGAGAUUUUCGGCACAAAAAAGCUGGCUGUCAAAAUUAUUUUUGCCGAGACUUCGGUAGAUGAAUUUUCUGCCGAACUCUCUGCCGAGCGCUCAGUUGUUCUGUUUUCGGCAGAAUUCUGCCGAAGUUCGGCAUAAAAAACUGAGUGUGUA